AAACAUAACAUAGAGAGUCCUGCCUGCCCAGUGACAAAAAGUUAAACGGCCGCGGUAUCUUGACCGUGCGAAGGUAGCAUAAUCACUUGUCUCCUAAAUAGAGACUGGUAUGAAUGGCAAGACGGAACUUAACUGUCUCCUUUUCUUGUAUCUUAAUUUCACUUUCCCGUGAAGAGGCGGGAAGAUAUUCGCUAGACGAGAAGACCCUGUCGAGCUUAAGCAAAAUACUAAUUUCUAAUUCCUUUUAAUUGUAUUCUAAUCUUUUUCACUAAAUGCAAUUAAGAGUAAAUUAUUAGUACAAGCUUUGGUUGGGGCAACCGCGGAGAAGAAAAACCCUCCGCUUACAAUAGAUAAAAAUGAGACUCUACAAGUCUAAUAUUGUACAAACAAGUCAACUGAUCCACCACGGUGAUCAAAGGAAAAAGUUACCGCAGGGAUAACAGCGUUAUCUUUUCUGAGAGUUCACAUUGACGAAAAGGUUUGCGACCUCGAUGUUGGAUCGGGACAUCCUAAGGGUGCAGAAGCUUUUAAGGGUUGGUCUGUUCGACCAUUAAAGUCCU
RNAcentral lists this ribosomal RNA (560 nucleotides) under Mellita tenuis. RNAcentral describes it as "partial 16S ribosomal RNA". It matches the Rfam family "Bacterial large subunit ribosomal RNA", at positions 1836 to 2597 of the family's 2925-position model. The record is from RNAcentral. Lineage: Eukaryota; Metazoa; Echinodermata; Echinoidea; Clypeasteroida; Mellitidae.